GCGUAGCCGAUGGACAACAGGUUGAUAUUCCUGUACUACCUAUGUAACUGAUGGAAUGACGAAGAAGGCUAAAAGGAGCCGGUUAUUGGAUUCCGGUCUAAGUACAAAGGCUUAUAAAUUGGGAAAUCCGUUUAUAGUUUAAGCUGAAGUAUGAUGGCGUGAUGUAGAAAUACAUUGGAAGUCCUUUGACGCCAAGCUUCCGAGAAAAGUUUCUAGGGUUAAUUACAUAGGUACCCGUACCGAGAACCGACACAGGUGGGCAAGGAGAGUAUCCUAAGGUGAGCGAGAGAACUAUGGUUAAGGAACUCGGCAAAAUGACCCCGUAACUUAGGGAUAAGGGGUGGUCUGGCGACAGACCCGCAGUAAAGAGGCCCAGGCGACUGUUUACCAAAAACACAGCUCUCUGCUAAGUCGUAAGACGAUGUAUAGGGGGUGACACCUGCCCAGUGCUGGAAGGUUAAGAGGAUGGCUUAGAAAUGACGCAAGUCGAUAUGUUUCGAAGGUCAGAAUUGAAGCCCCAGUGAACGGCGGCCGUAACUAUAACGGUCCUAAGGUAGCGAAAUUCCUUGUCAGGUAAGUUCUGACCCGCACGAAAGGUGUAACGAUCUGGGUGCUGUCUCGACCAUAGACUCGGUGAAAUCAUAAUACCUGUGAAAAUGCAGGUUACCCGCGACAGGACGGAGAGACCCCGUGGAGCUUUACUGUAGCUUGAUAUUGAAAUUCGGUAUGUUAUGUAGAGGAUAGGUGGGAGACUUUGAAAUGAGGACGCUAGUUCUCAUGGAGUCAACCUUGGAAUACCACCCUUAAUGUAUUGGAUUUCUAACCUAGGACCGUGAUCCGGUUCGGGGACAGUGUCUGGUGGGCAGUUUGACUGGGGCGGUCGCCUCCCAAAAAGUAACGGAGGCGCCCAAUGGUUCCCUCAGAAUGGUUGGAAAUCAUUCGCAGAGCGUAAAGGUAUAAGGGAGCUUGACUGCAAGACUUACAAGUCGAGCAGAUACGAAAGUAGGGCUUAGUGAUCAGGCGAUUCAGUAUGGAAUGGUCGUCGCUUAACGGAUAAAAGUUACCCCGGGGAU
This 1073-nucleotide ribosomal RNA is filed under the name human gut metagenome. RNAcentral's name for it is "bacterial LSU rRNA". It matches the Rfam family "Bacterial large subunit ribosomal RNA", at positions 1409 to 2475 of the family's 2925-position model. The record is from RNAcentral.